AACCUUAUGGACCUGCGGGCGUAUACCUGCGGAGGGAUCAUUACCGAGUUUACAAACUCCCAACCCUAUGUGAACCUUACCAAUCGUUGCUUCGGCGGGCUUAGCCCCCGCGCCCUCGCCGGCGCCGGGAGAAAGGCGCCCGCCGGGGACCCCAAACCCAAUGUUUUUCAUGCAGUAUUUCUGAGUGGCAAACGCAAAAAUAAAUCAAAACUUUUAGCAACGGAUCUCAGAUCGGAAGAG
Molecule: unclassified non-coding RNA, 240 nt
Filed under: soil metagenome
Description: partial contains 5.8S ribosomal RNA, internal transcribed spacer 2, and large subunit ribosomal RNA
Source: RNAcentral